GAUGAACGCUGGCGGCGUGCCUAAUACAUGCAAGUCGAGCGAACGGACGAGAAGCUUGCUUCUCUGAUGUUAGCGGCGGAUGGGUGAGUAACACGUGGAUAACCUACCUAUAAGACUGGGAUAACUUCGGGAAACCGGAGCUAAUACCGGAUAAUAUUUUGAACCGCAUGGUUCAAAAGUGAAAGACGGUCUUGCUGUCACUUAUAGAUGGAUCCGCGCUGCAUUAGCUAGUUGGUAAGGUAACGGCUUACCAAGGCAACGAUGCAUAGCCGACCUGAGAGGGUGAUCGGCCACACUGGAACUGAGACACGGUCCAGACUCCUACGGGAGGCAGCAGUAGGGAAUCUUCCGCAAUGGGCGAAAGCCUGACGGAGCAACGCCGCGUGAGUGAUGAAGGUCUUCGGAUCGUAAAACUCUGUUAUUAGGGAAGAACAUAUGUGUAAGUAACUGUGCACAUCUUGACGGUACCUAAUCAGAAAGCCACGGCUAACUACGUGCCAGCAGCCGCGGUAAUACGUAGGUGGCAAGCGUUAUCCGGAAUUAUUGGGCGUAAAGCGCGCGUAGCGGUUUUUUAAGUCUGAUGUGAAAGCCCACGGCUCAACCGUGGAGGGUCAUUGGAAACUGGAAAACUUGAGUGCAGAAGAGGAAAGUGGAAUUCCAUGUGUAGCGGUGAAAUGCGCAGAGAUAUGGAGGAACACCAGUGGCGAAGGCGACUUUCUGGUCUGUAACUGACGCUGAUGUGCGAAAGCGUGGGGAUCAAACAGGAUUAGAUACCCUGGUAGUCCACGCCGUAAACGAUGAGUGCUAAGUGUUAGGGGGUUUCCGCCCCUUAGUGCUGCAGCUAACGCAUUAAGCACUCCGCCUGGGGAGUACGACCGCAAGGUUGAAACUCAAAGGAAUUGACGGGGACCCGCACAAGCGGUGGAGCAUGUGGUUUAAUUCGAAGCAACGCGAAGAACCUUACCAAAUCUUGACAUCCUUUGACAACUCUAGAGAUAGAGCCUUCCCCUUCGGGGGACAAAGUGACAGGUGGUGCAUGGUUGUCGUCAGCUCGUGUCGUGAGAUGUUGGGUUAAGUCCCGCAACGAGCGCAACCCUUAAGCUUAGUUGCCAUCAUUAAGUUGGGCACUCUAAGUUGACUGCCGGUGACAAACCGGAGGAAGGUGGGGAUGACGUCAAAUCAUCAUGCCCCUUAUGAUUUGGGCUACACACGUGCUACAAUGGACAAUACAAAGGGCAGCGAAACCGCGAGGUCAAGCAAAUCCCAUAAAGUUGUUCUCAGUUCGGAUUGUAGUCUGCAACUCGACUACAUGAAGCUGGAAUCGCUAGUAAUCGUAGAUCAGCAUGCUACGGUGAAUACGUUCCCGGGUCU
RNAcentral lists this ribosomal RNA (1371 nucleotides) under uncultured bacterium. Its description in RNAcentral is "bacterial SSU rRNA". It matches the Rfam family "Bacterial small subunit ribosomal RNA", at positions 28 to 1381 of the family's 1533-position model. The record is from RNAcentral.